UCAUUUCGAUCAGAGCUGGGCCAAUUACUGAAGAGGAUCUCUUCUACUGCAUUUAAGCAGCACAAUAAAUUCAAAGAAACUGAAAUUUCCGACAAUUACAGAACAGGUACGUGCUCUUUCUCCCUUCAUUCGUCUAGGCUCAAAUUUAUCCUCCCUGGGUGAUAAGGGAAUGUGUAAAAAUGAUUGGCCUAAGUCUAAAUUAAAGAUGAAGACAUACAAGAAAACAUUCAAACAUUUCUUUUUUUUUUUUUUUUCACGCAUGCAAAAGCACAGUGAUCUCCAACAGAAAUGAAACCCUGCUGCUGCCACCAGCAGGAUUUCUAACAGACAGGGGGACCCAAUCUUUUCCCGUUCUCUGGGGUCCCUGCAAGCGCCGCGAGACUGGAACCCUCUCUCAAACUUUACACAAACGCAAGGAGGAAAAAUUAAGCAUAUGAUGCGUGUUGGGGCUUCAGGACAAUCCAAGGAAUUUGGUGCCGGGAAACAGGAAUUCACCGAUCCUUUUUGUAACUGCAGCCCCUACACACCGUCAGCUACUCCUUUUGCUCUUCCCGUGGAAUGAUAUUCAGGUCUUUCCCGAACUCCAGGGGUAAAAGGAGAAAAGAAGAAGAAGAAGAAAAAGGCAGUUCUCCAGCAUGGAUGUGUAUUGUUUGGUGUAGCUCCCCACCAAGAGGGCAGGAAAGAGGAUCAGCAGUGCUUGGACAUAUCUGGAGCACCAGUAAAGCAGCUGGAGGAAGAGAGAAUGGGGAGCUGUCAAAAGCAGAUGGGAGAAGGCUGAGGCAAGAGGAUAAGGCAGGUAAGGACAACAGGAGAAUUUCCUGGGGCUGCCAGCACAAAGGGUGAGGCUCCGCAGACCCCAAACCACGAUAGUCUUCUGCUUCAGCUGUUAUGGAGGAGCAUUUCUGAGUGCCAGACACUGCAUUCAGUCCACGAUCUCAUUUAAUCCUCACAUCACAGGAAACUGGCUGACACUCAGAGGGGUUAAGUCUAUGCCUUACUUACAUAGCCAGUUCGUGGCAGAGCCUCAAGUCUGCCCAAGGCAUGCUGACCCUGGUCCCUUGCUCUUUCUACCUGACCCGCCACAGCUCACAGAUACUCAGGGAUGCCAUGGAGCCUCGCAAGCAUCCAGACACCUCACUCAUUCUAAUCCAGGCAAAGAAUAGGGAAUGAUUUCUCUUAAAUAUCGCCCCUUUUGAAGCUUUUUCAUGCUUGCCAACACAAAGUUGCCACCACAAACAUACAUCCCUUGAGGAUAAGGGGGUUCCCAAUGGCUAGUCCCAUGAGUCUGUGUUCAGGGAAAUGUUGAAGGGAUGGUAAAAACAAAGGAAACCCCCAUACAAGGCAAUGCUUUUGUUAAGUAACUUUGGGAAACACCAUCUACCUCCCACAAACUCCUGGAGAGUCACUCCACAUGUUAGAAUAUUAAAGAGUAUUAUGACAAAUCCUGCAGAAAAGAGGUCUGUCUAAAGCAUUUCCCCUACUUAUCUGAACACAAAAAAUUUUUUUUUCUCCUAUUGGACAUAAGAUCACAUCAGCUUAUCUUCCAAUGAGCCCAUCUCAGGAAAC
Molecule: long non-coding RNA, 1566 nt
Filed under: Suricata suricatta (meerkat)
Lineage: Eukaryota; Metazoa; Chordata; Mammalia; Carnivora; Herpestidae
Description: lncRNA (ENSSSUG00005022947.1)
Source: RNAcentral